GCAAACGUAAUUCAGUCUUAAGCGCACUUGGCAAAGAGCAACUGCGGUUUUCCCCACUUGUGGUUAAAACGUUAACCAGGCCGUCGCAAUCUGUCCAAUCUGUCUUUCAACAUGAGAAGCUUACUAUUCAUAUGUGGCAUCCUUCUUUUCGCCAGUUUAAUAAACAAUUCUAACGGAGUUCCUGUAGGGGAGGAAGCGGAAGCAGGCGACUGUCCAAACUUGGAAAACGAGGAAUGGAACAUUGGAAACUGCAACCAUUGCUAUUGCCGAAAUGGAGAAGUGUUUUGCGAGAGUACAUGCGCGGAGAAUCAAUGAUUUAAAAAAAUGAACUGUAAUUUGUGGGGACGUUCUGUUACAAUAGAAAGGACGUUAUCUUUAGUGAAUAACCUGGAGGAGCAGAUCAUUCAAAACUGUUGUUAAAGGCAAUAAAGUAGACUGACAUAGAAACGAUUUCA
Molecule: long non-coding RNA, 455 nt
Organism: Orbicella faveolata
Lineage: Eukaryota; Metazoa; Cnidaria; Anthozoa; Scleractinia; Merulinidae
Source: RefSeq, a predicted model, not a curated record